This 465-nucleotide ribosomal RNA is filed under the name Vreelandella stevensii. RNAcentral describes it as "partial 16S ribosomal RNA". It matches the Rfam family "Bacterial small subunit ribosomal RNA", at positions 338 to 795 of the family's 1533-position model. The record is from RNAcentral. Lineage: Bacteria; Pseudomonadati; Pseudomonadota; Gammaproteobacteria; Oceanospirillales; Halomonadaceae.
CCUACGGGUGGCAGCAGUGGGGAAUAUUGGACAAUGGGCGAAAGCCUGAUCCAGCCAUGCCGCGUGUGUGAAGAAGGCCUUCGGGUUGUAAAGCACUUUCAGUGGGGAAGAAAGCCUUGGGGCUAAUACCCUCGAGGAAGGACAUCACCCACAGAAGAAGCACCGGCUAACUCCGUGCCAGCAGCCGCGGUAAUACGGAGGGUGCGAGCGUUAAUCGGAAUUACCGGGCGUAAAGCGCGCGUAGGCGGUCUGAUAAGCCGGUUGUGAAAGCCCCGGGCUCAACCUGGGAACGGCAUCCGGAACUGUCAGGCUAGAGUGCAGGAGAGGAAGGUAGAAUUCCCGGUGUAGCAGUGAAAUGCGUAGAGAUCGGGAGGAAUACCAGUGGCGAAGGCGGCCUUCUGGACUGACACUGACGCUGAGGUGCGAAAGCGUGGGUAGCAAACAGGAUUAGAUCCCCUAGUAGUC